RNAcentral lists this ribosomal RNA (454 nucleotides) under uncultured bacterium. RNAcentral describes it as "partial 16S ribosomal RNA". It matches the Rfam family "Bacterial small subunit ribosomal RNA", at positions 28 to 507 of the family's 1533-position model. The record is from RNAcentral.
GAUGAACGCUGACAGAAUGCUUAACACAUGCAAGUCAACUUGAACUUCGGUUUGGGUGGCGGACGGGUGAGUAACGCGUAAAGAACUUGCCUCACAGAUAGGGACAACAUUUGGAAACGAAUGCUAAUACCUGAUAUUAUGAUUUUAGGGCAUCCUAGGAUUAUGAAAGCUAUAUGCGCUGUGAGAGAGCUUUGCGUCCCAUUAGCUAGUUGGAGAGGUAACGGCUCACCAAGGCGAUGAUGGGUAGCCGGCCUGAGAGGGUGAUCGGCCACAAGGGGACUGAGACACGGCCCUUACUCCUACGGGAGGCAGCAGUGGGGAAUAUUGGACAAUGGACCAAGAGUCUGAUCCAGCAAUUCUGUGUGCACGAUGAAGUUUUUCGGAAUGUAAAGUGCUUUCAGUUGGGAAGAAAAAAAUGACGGUACCAACAGAAGAAGUGACGGCUAAAUACGUG